ACUCAAAUGAAUAGACGGGGGCCCGCACAAGCGGUGGAGCAUGUGGUUCAAUUCGACGCAACGCGAAGAACCUUACCUGGGCUAGACAACAGCGGACCGUCCCAGAGAUGGGACUUCCCCUUCGGGGGCCGCUGGUUCAGGUGCUGCAUGGCUGUCGUCAGCUCGUGUCGUGAGAUGUUGGGUUAAGUCCCGCAACGAGCGCAACCCUUGCCCUUAGUUGCCAUCACCUCGGGUGGGCACUCUAAGGGGACUGCCCGCGUCAAGCGGGAGGAAGGUGGGGAUGACGUCAAGUCCUCAUGGCCCUUAUGUCCAGGGCUACACACGUGCUACAAUGGACCGUACAAAGGGCUGCGAAGCCGUAAGGUGGAGCCAAUCCCAAAAAGCGGUCCUCAGUUCGGAUUGGAGUCUGCAACUCGACUCCAUGAAGGUGGAAUCGCUAGUAAUCGCGGAUCAGCAUGCCGCGGUGAAUACGUUCUCGGGCCUUGUACACACCGCCCGU
Molecule: ribosomal RNA, 499 nt
Filed under: uncultured bacterium
Lineage: Bacteria
Description: partial 16S ribosomal RNA
Rfam family: Bacterial small subunit ribosomal RNA
Source: RNAcentral